AUUGAACGCUGGCGGCAGGCCUAACACAUGCAAGUCGAGCGGAUGAAGGGAGCUUGCUCCUGGAUUCAGCGGCGGACGGGUGAGUAAUGCCUAGGAAUCUGCCUGGUAGUGGGGGAUAACGUCCGGAAACGGGCGCUAAUACCGCAUACGUCCUGAGGGAGAAAGUGGGGGAUCUUCGGACCUCACGCUAUCAGAUGAGCCUAGGUCGGAUUAGCUAGUUGGUGGGGUAAAGGCCUACCAAGGCGACGAUCCGUAACUGGUCUGAGAGGAUGAUCAGUCACACUGGAACUGAGACACGGUCCAGACCCCUACGGGAGGCAGCAGUGGGGAAUAUUGGACAAAGGGCGAAAGCCUGAUCCAGCCAUGCCGCGUGUGUGAAGAAGGUCCUCGGAUUGUAAAGCACUUUAAGUUGGGAGGAAGGGCAGUAAGUUAAUACCUUGCUGUUUUGACGUUACCAACAGAAUAAGCACCGGCUAACUUCGUG
This 484-nucleotide ribosomal RNA is filed under the name uncultured bacterium. RNAcentral's name for it is "partial 16S ribosomal RNA". It matches the Rfam family "Bacterial small subunit ribosomal RNA", at positions 30 to 507 of the family's 1533-position model. The record is from RNAcentral.